CCCUUAGAUGUUCUGGGCCGCACGCGCGCUACACUGAUGCAUUCAACGAGUCUAAAACCUGCUCUGAUAGGGGUGGGUAAUCUUUUGAAUGUGCAUCGUGAUUGGGAUAGAUGAUUGCAAUUUUUCAUCUUCAACGAGGAAUGCCUAGUAAACGCAAGUCAUCAGCUUGCAUUGAUUACGUCCCUGCCCUUUGUACACACCGCCCGUCGCUCCUACCGAUUGAAUGAUCCGAUGAAUAUCAUGGAUUGAGGAUGUAAGCAGGUUCGCCUAUCUUCAUCUUCGAGAAGUGAAGUAAAUCUUAUCAUUUAGAGGAAGGAGAAGUCGUAACA
RNAcentral lists this ribosomal RNA (329 nucleotides) under uncultured eukaryote. RNAcentral's name for it is "partial 18S ribosomal RNA". It matches the Rfam family "Eukaryotic small subunit ribosomal RNA", at positions 1470 to 1796 of the family's 1831-position model. The record is from RNAcentral.